UAUUUAUAUUGUUUUCACAGAUAUCCUUGCAAGAAGAAAAUCGAGUUAUACAAUUGAAGUAUUUCCAUUGCUUUUUCUUCAUUCUCUGUGUCCAGCUAUGCAGGAUCACGAAAACAUGCUAGUACCGAAGUAUAUUUUCUGAUGGUUUUUAUACAGCAAACAUGGUUGAGAAACAAAGAACUGAGACUGAAAUAAAGGCAGAUGUUUAUAAGGUAGAAGAUGGUUCACUUUAUAGCCUAAAUCUCUGCAGUACAUUUGACAUCUUUUCAUCAUCUAUGGUUGUACUUGCGCAGGAGGAAAUGGAAAAAGUAGAGACUUCAGAAAACAGAACAUAUACCACUUGGUAUCAUUACUAGGAGGAAACCUCAACUCAUUGAAGAGGCAAAAUUCCAAGCCUGAAGCUGAAAUGAUUCUGAAUUGAGCUGUGAAACAGAGCUGCUGAGCUGCUGGUCUGCCUGUUGCAGUUAGAAUGUGUGGUGACAUAUCUCUAAAUAUAAACUAUACAGAAAAAGGUAUUCUACAUCUUCUACUAUUUAUUCUAUUUAGAAAUUUUGGAUAA
RNAcentral lists this long non-coding RNA (559 nucleotides) under Coturnix japonica (Japanese quail). RNAcentral describes it as "lncRNA (ENSCJPG00005015388.1)". The record is from RNAcentral. Lineage: Eukaryota; Metazoa; Chordata; Aves; Galliformes; Phasianidae.